This 253-nucleotide ribosomal RNA is filed under the name uncultured bacterium. RNAcentral describes it as "partial 16S ribosomal RNA". It matches the Rfam family "Bacterial small subunit ribosomal RNA", at positions 524 to 776 of the family's 1533-position model. The record is from RNAcentral.
UACAGAGGUCUCAAGCGUUGUUCGGAUUCAUUGGGCGUAAAGGGUGCGUAGGUGGCUUGGUAAGUCGGAUGUGAAAUCCCGGGGCUCAACCCCGGAACUGCAUUCGAUACUGCCAGGCUGGAGUACUGGAGAGGAGAUUGGAAUUUACGGUGUAGCAGUGAAAUGCGUAGAUAUCGUAAGGAAGACCAGUGGCGAAGGCGGAUCUCUGGACAGUUCCUGACGCUGAGGCACGAAGGUCAGGGGAGCAAACGGG